CUUUUGUCUUUUUGUUGUUGUUGUUGCUAUUUCUUGGGCCGCUCCUGCAGCAUAUGGAGGUUCCCAGGCUAGGGGUUGAAUCGGAGCUGUAGCCACCGGCCUACGCCAGAGCCACAGCAACACUGAGGGGUAGGAAAUUAUGUUGGUCUAGAUAAGAGUAGAUGGGGGAUUAUGUAGGUAAGCAAGACCUAUGCUAUCUACAGUCCUUGAUGGUUGGCCAUGAAGGAACGCUAAGCACUGGUCAAAGUCAUCAUAAGCCUAAUAGCUGCCAUUCUUAAGAAUUCCUAGUGAGAUAUCUUAGGCAAUACUAUUUAAUCCAUAUUGCUUCUUUUUUAAAAGCAAGAGAAAUUGAACUCAAAGAAUUACUGGUGGAUAAUUCCUAGACUGAAAGACUAUAUAAUUAAUCAUCCAAAAAUCCAUUUAAAAACAUCUACAGAGGAACAGGUCACUGGCAUUGUUAAGAACAAGUCUAGACUGAUCUAAUCUCCUUCUAUGACAGAGCCCCUGGAUUGAGGAAAAAUAAUGGACAUAAUCUAUCUUGACUUCAGCAAGGUGUAGCACUUGGCUCACAUGACACCCUCAUUAAUAAUCUCGGCAUGAUAUUCUCCAUCAGUGUUCUCCUCACUGUGCUUUGACACAGAUUUCUGUCGGUCCCUCUUGCUUCUCUAGAUGGUUUAUUCCUACAUUCCUGAGGCCUGGUAAGGUCCUAAGUCUUACAUUUGACCAACCUCUGCCGUCUGCAGGGACGUCCUGCUCUACCUCGUCUCCUCAACGACAUUUUACCUCCAAGCUUCAAUGCAAAAGUCAAGAAGUCUCCUUGUUCUGAAUCAUCUCUUCUUCCCCGUGUGCUCCUCCAGCUUUGUUUAGACUUCUCUACUCAAUUACAGACCCACAUGCACUUGACUAUAUCAACUGUUUAAAAAUCAUGCCAUCUGUAGAAAGAUAAUUAAUGUGUCAGUUUUGGUUACUGGCUCUGUAUUGGUGGAUGGAUUCUGUGGAUAUAGCUUAAUGAGAAGAUUCCAAAAUAUUUCAGAUGGUGCGGAAGCAAAUUAACAAGAGAUGAAAACAUAUAUAAUGGCACAUUGAAUUACAGCAAGUAGAGGCAGCACAGAUUCAUAAUGGUAAAGAAUAUAGACUCCGGGUUUCAAUGUUUAUGCUACCUGAUUGCUGUGUUUCUUUGGAUAAGACAAUUAACCUCUCUGUGCCACGGUUUCCUUAUCCACAUCUUGUUUUCAUUGAAGUACCUUUUUACUUUGUUUACUCCAUAAGCCCCUUGGAGACCAUGUCAGUUUCAGCCAAUACAUUUUGAAUGAAUGAAUGGCAGGAUGGGUAAGUGAACAGAAGAAAAUUAUAAAUAUCAGUCUCAGCUGGGCCACCCCAUUACAAAAAGUUUCAGUUGGUUCAGUUUGAGAGUCAUUCUCCAUUAUGACAUAAUCAAGUUUUAUACAUUAACAUUGGAAAUUAAUAACGUUAUAAAAUUAUCUCUAUAAAUGUUUUCUUCUACUUUUGUUGAGAUACAAUCGACAUAUAGCACUGUAUAAGUUUAAUGUGUACAGAAUCAGGAUUUGAUUUACAUACAUCACAAAAUGUUUGCCACGAGUUUAGUGGACAUCUAUUCUCUUAUACAGAUAAAAAAUGAAAAAACAUUUUUUUUCAUGAUGAUGAGAUGAACAUUUUUUGGAUGAACUUUUAGAACUCUUUUUUCCCUAAGUUUGAGUCUGCCAUUAUAACGUACAGCCAAUUCCCAAUGAGGUUAUAAGGACACAAAGAGCAGAGACACAACCCCCCAAGGGAAAUCUGGCUUGGGUUUUUUUGUUUUUUUUUUUUCCAUUGACAAUUAAUAAGUAACAAUAAUUUUCACUGAAUAAGCUGUCCAGGCUAUGACUAUUUUUAAGCCUUUCUUUUUUUUUUCUUCCUGGUAAGCAAGAGGUACUGCUUUAAUUAAUGUGAACCAAAGUGCACUCCUGUAGGAUCAAAAUUAAGAAGCCUCGAGGGGAUGAAAGAAUCUUUGUGCUUCUUGCGUCCUUGUGGGUUACAAUAUACGUAAGAGGUUUUGACUCUGGACACCUCUCUGCCCCGCCCUGACCAGAAGGAGCAUCCCUGUGCAAGAGCAAGUUCCUCUUACACAGUAGGAUAUGGUUUUAUCUGGGGAGCAUUAGCACCUCUGCUCCCUGGAAUGGGAACACCCCGAUGCUAGGAGGAUCCAAAGAGCAGGAUCAGGGUGUCAGGCUCUGGUU
This 2237-nucleotide long non-coding RNA is filed under the name Sus scrofa (pig). Its description in RNAcentral is "lncRNA (ENSSSCG00050054437.1)". Lineage: Eukaryota; Metazoa; Chordata; Mammalia; Artiodactyla; Suidae. The record is from RNAcentral.